Molecule: ribosomal RNA, 364 nt
Filed under: Enterobacter sp. CAR35
Lineage: Bacteria; Pseudomonadati; Pseudomonadota; Gammaproteobacteria; Enterobacterales; Enterobacteriaceae
Description: bacterial SSU rRNA
Rfam family: Bacterial small subunit ribosomal RNA
Source: RNAcentral
GGUGCCUUCGGGAACUGUGAGACAGGUGCUGCAUGGCUGUCGUCAGCUCGUGUUGUGAAAUGUUGGGUUAAGUCCCGCAACGAGCGCAACCCUUAUCCUUUGUUGCCAGCGGUCCGGCCGGGAACUCAAAGGAGACUGCCAGUGAUAAACUGGAGGAAGGUGGGGAUGACGUCAAGUCAUCAUGGCCCUUACGACCAGGGCUACACACGUGCUACAAUGGCGCAUACAAAGAGAAGCGACCUCGCGAGAGCAAGCGGACCUCAUAAAGUGCGUCGUAGUCCGGAUUGGAGUCUGCAACUCGACUCCAUGAAGUCGGAAUCGCUAGUAAUCGUGAAUCAGAAUGUCACGGUGAAUACGUUCCCGG